Non-coding RNA from Triticum urartu, 135 nucleotides. NCBI's taxonomy places the organism in Eukaryota, Viridiplantae, Streptophyta, Magnoliopsida, Poales, Poaceae. The record is from Rfam.
UAACUACUCCACCCAUCUCAAAAUUCUUGUCUUAAAUUUAUCUAAAUACGGAUGUAUCAAGUCACGUUUUAGUAUUAGAUACAUCCGUAUCAAGACAAAUUUAAGACAAAAUUUUUGGGACGGAGGGAGUAAUAA